Molecule: ribosomal RNA, 253 nt
Filed under: uncultured bacterium
Lineage: Bacteria
Description: partial 16S ribosomal RNA
Rfam family: Bacterial small subunit ribosomal RNA
Source: RNAcentral
UACGGGGGGAGCAAGCGUUGUUCGGAUUUACUGGGCGUAAAGGGCGCGUAGGCGGCGCGACAAGUCACUUGUGAAAUCUCUGGGCUCAACCCAGAACGGUCAAGUGAUACUGUCGUGCUAGAGUGCGGAAGGGGCAACUGGAAUUCUUGGUGUAGCGGUGAAAUGCGUAGAUAUCAGGAGGAACACCGGUGGCGAAGGCGGUGGUCUGGGCCGGCACUGACGCUGAGGAGCGAAAGCGUGGGUAGCAAACAGG